UCCGAGUUGACCCCGGCAGUCUCCUAUGAGUCCCCGACAUUACUCGCUGGCAACAUAGAACAAGGGUUGCGCUCGUUGCGGGACUUAACCCAACAUCUCACGACACGAGCUGACGACAACCAUGCACCACCUGUAUACCGCCCUUGCGGACCUGCCAUCUCUGACAGUUUUCGGUAUAUGUCAAGCCUUGGUAAGGUUCUUCGCGUUGCGUCGAAUUAAGCCACAUGCUCCGCCGCUUGUGCGGGCCCCCGUCAAUUCCUUUGAGUUUUAGCCUUGCGGCCGUACUCCCCAGGCGGGGCGCUUAAUGCGUUAGCUGCGGCACGGAGAACGUGGAAAGUUCCCCACACCUAGCGCCCAACGUUUACGGCUGGGACUAC
Molecule: unclassified non-coding RNA, 377 nt
Filed under: uncultured Sporichthyaceae bacterium
Lineage: Bacteria; Bacillati; Actinomycetota; Actinomycetes; Sporichthyales; Sporichthyaceae
Description: contains 16S-23S intergenic spacer region
Source: RNAcentral